This 643-nucleotide long non-coding RNA is filed under the name Homo sapiens (human). Its description in RNAcentral is "HSALNT0076451". The record is from RNAcentral. Lineage: Eukaryota; Metazoa; Chordata; Mammalia; Primates; Hominidae.
CUUUCAGGCAUGUUUCUAAUAUCAGAGAACUGCUGAGAAUAUUUGGCAAGAAAUGGCACAGGGCUGCUUUUUCACACUGUCCACUUAGACUCAGGUCUCUUUUCAUCUGGGUUUGGCUGCCCUUGCUGCCAUACUUAUUUUGAGAUAUCACUUGUUCUCCUAUCAUGCCAUCUCCAUCUGACCCAUUCGCUGGAAGAUCUGAAACAGUUUCAGGCUGAGUAGCAUGUUAGGGUAUGCCUAGUGCAUACCUAAGCAGCUAUUAGCCAGAAGACAUGCAUUGUGAUCUUGAUUUAUUCCCAUUAUUUAAAUAUUUACCAGGAUGACAAGUGCUGAACUCUGUGUUCUGUGCUUCAUCACUAAGACAAUUCCCCAAAGAGAAACAGCAGUGGAAAAGCACAGAUACCAAUUCUUGAAAAAUGAGCUUUUGUUUGCAUAAAGAGUUAAGUUGCAGAAAUAAUAAACUAAGUUAUAACCGUACAAACCUCAUGUGACUGUACACAGGCAAAGAGAAAUUCUUUUUAUGGUUGCUAAUAUUAUUACUUUGUUUCUUAAGUACUUCAGGAGUCCCUGUUUCCAGUAAGAUGCAACACAUAGAAACAUUCCAUUUUGAGGCAGGAGAAUUGCUUGAACCCGGGAGGCAGAG